GAUGAACGCUGGCGGCGUGCUUAACACAUGCAAGUCGAACGAGAAGUGGAGACGGACACCUUCGGGCGGAAGACUUUAUUUCGAGUGGCGGACGGGUGAGUAACGCGUGGGUAACCUGCCUCAUACAGGGGGAUAACAGUUGGAAACGACUGUUAAUACCGCAUAAGACCACAGCACCGCAUGGUGCGGGGGUAAAAACUCCGGUGGUAUGAGAUGGACCCGCGUUCGAUUAGCCAGUUGGCGGGGUAACGGCCCACCAAAGCGACGAUCGAUAGCCGAUCUGAGAGGAUGACCGGCCACAUUGGGACUGAGACACGGCCCAAACUCCUACGGGAGGCAGCAGUGGGGAAUAUUGCACAAUGGGGGAAACCCUGAUGCAGCGACGACGCGUGAGUGAAGAAGUAUUUCGGUAUGUAAAGCUCUAUCAGCAGGGAAGAAAAUGACGGUACCUGAGUAAGAAGCCCCGGCUAACUACGUG
This 478-nucleotide ribosomal RNA is filed under the name uncultured bacterium. Its description in RNAcentral is "partial 16S ribosomal RNA". It matches the Rfam family "Bacterial small subunit ribosomal RNA", at positions 28 to 507 of the family's 1533-position model. The record is from RNAcentral.